UCGGAGGCUAUUACGGCCAAAAAAGGGGGUAUUUCGUUAGUUGAAGUAAUAUAAAUUUAAAAGUAGUUAUAACUUAGUUCGGAAGUUUUAAAAGCGGUUCGAGUCCGCUUGCGACUAAAAUAUCUAACCCCAGUUUAUACUGGUAUUACAAAGGCAUGGGUAGCUCAGCUGGUAGAGCGCAGGAUUGAAAAUCCUGAGGUCGGCGGUUCGAUCCCGCUCCUAGGCAAAAUUAUCCAAUAGUUAUAAAACGAAUAACUAGGUUCUCGUACGGCGCAAAAGCGAAAAAUUUUCCGAGAAAGAAAAUAGAUACCUGGUGAAUUGAAACAUCUUAGUAGCCAGUGUUUACUAAAUUAGAGCCCGUAAGUAGUGGCGAGCGAACGUGGGAAUGAAACAUAAACUAGUUGGAAUGCUAGACCAAGGGGGGUAAUAGUCCUUGUGAAUAAAAAUAAGUAAAACAUUUGUUUGAAUAAAGGGGUACCACCCUCUAAAUUAAUAUGCGAGUUUCCGAUAGUGUACUAGUACUGUGAAGGAAAGUUGAAAAACAACCCCGAAGGGAGUGAAAAGAGUUGAAAUUUUAUAAUUUUCAAUUAUGGUAGUGUAUCUUUUGUAUAAUAGGCUAACAACUUAAUAUGCAUAGCAAGCGUAAUGCAAAGUACGCGUAGCGAAAGCGAGUUUGAAUAAAAGCGUUAGUUAUGUGUGUUAAACCCGAAACCAAGUGAUCUAGUCAUGAGCAAGUCGAAGGUAAUCUGAAGGACUGAACCCUAGUGUGUUGCAAAAUACAGGGAUGACUCGUGACUAGGAGUGAAAGGCUAAUCAAACUUGGAAAUAGCUGGUUUUCUGCGAAAUCUAUUUAAGUAGAGCGUUAUUAUUAAAAGGGGUAGAGCUCUGGACUCUAGAUGGGGGCGAAAGCCUUACUGAUAGGGUUUAAACUUCGAAUACUAAAAUAGCAGACAGACUGCGGGUGAUAAGAUCCGUAGUCAAGAGGGACACAGCCCAGACUAUAGAAUAAAGUUCGUAAUGAGUGUUAAUAUGAAGAUGGUUACUACAAUGACAACCCUAAUGAUGGGCUUAGAAGCAGCCAUUCAUUUAAGAAAUCGUUAAAGAUCAUGGGAAUAGUUACUAACUGUCGAAGAUUAUGAGAUGAACCUCAGCUGAAUUCAUAGGAAUGGUAGCAGAAUGUUUGUAAUGAUUAGAAGCCUUCUCGAAAGAAUUGGUGGAUUAUUGCAAAGUAACAAUGUUAGCAUGAGUAACUAAAAAUAUUGAAAACAAUAUCACCGUAAGCCUAAGGUUUGCUACGAAAAGAUAAACUGCGUGGCGUGAUCCGGUUCCUAAGAGAGAGCUCGAAAGAGUUCCUCGAUGGUCGCUUGAACCGAAAACGGUUAGGGCUAGAAAAUUAUAUAACCGUACUAAACCACUACAGGGAGGCGCGUUUAAUACACUAAGGUGAUUGGGAUAACAACAUUUAAGGAACUCGGCAAAAUGACUCUGUAACUUCGGGAGGAGGAGGGUUUUCUAUAGGAAAACAAAAAAAACAAGGGAGGAGCGACUGUUUAUUAAAAACACAGAACUCUGCAAAAUAGCAAUAUGAUGUAUAGGGUUUGACACCUGCCCGGUGCCAUUGAGCAAAAACAAGGUGUGAAAGCACCGAGUAUAAGCUUCGGUAAACGGCGGCUGUAACUCUGACGGUCCUAAGGUAGCGAAAUUCCUUGGCGGGUAAGUUCCGUCCUGCAUGAAUGGUGUAACGACUCCUCUACUGUCUCAAGUGUUGACCCAGUGAAAUUGAAUUGCCUGUGAAGAUGCAGGCAUUAUGUGGCUAGACGGAAAGACCCUGUGCACCUUUACUAUAACCUUGCAGCGCCUUACGCAUACGUAUGUUCAGAAUAAGUGGGAGCUUGUUCAAAUAAGCAUCAGUGAGAUACCACUCGUAUGUAUGCUUAAGGUAAUUUGUAAGGUUGGUAGUUUGGCUGGGGUGGCCGCCUCCUAAAGAGUAACGGGGGUGUGCAAUAGUAAGCUCAAUUCGAUAUUUCGAAGUAAGAGUAUAAUGGCAUAAGCUUGCUUGACUGGAAG
This 2067-nucleotide small RNA is filed under the name marine metagenome. RNAcentral describes it as "bacterial LSU rRNA". The stretch from base 223 to 2067 matches the Rfam family "Bacterial large subunit ribosomal RNA", at positions 1 to 2379 of the family's 2925-position model. The record is from RNAcentral.